Molecule: small nucleolar RNA, 91 nt
Organism: Lineus longissimus
Lineage: Eukaryota; Metazoa; Nemertea; Pilidiophora; Heteronemertea; Lineidae
Product: small nucleolar SNORD12/SNORD106
Exons: 1
Source: RefSeq, a predicted model, not a curated record
AUACUUGCAAAUGAUGACUUAUUUUUUCCCCAGCUUAUCGAAAAAUGCUGAUUCUGUGCUAUGUCAAGCCAAUUCAACCUGAUGCAAGUAA